RNAcentral lists this ribosomal RNA (487 nucleotides) under uncultured Sphingobacteriales bacterium. RNAcentral describes it as "bacterial SSU rRNA". It matches the Rfam family "Bacterial small subunit ribosomal RNA", at positions 897 to 1382 of the family's 1533-position model. Lineage: Bacteria; Pseudomonadati; Bacteroidota; Sphingobacteriia; Sphingobacteriales. The record is from RNAcentral.
AAACUCAAAGGAAUUAGUACGGGGGCCCGGCGACAAGCGGAGGAGCAUGUGGUUUAAUUCGAUGAUACGCGAGGAACCUUACCUGGGCUUGAAAGUUAUGACAUUCUGUGAAAGCAGAACUUCCGCAAGGACACGAAACUAGGUGCUGCAUGGCUGUCGUCAGCUCGUGCCGUGAGGUGUUGGGUUAAGUCCCGUAACGAGCGCAACCCCUAUCAUUAGUUGCCAUCAGGUCAUGCUGGGGACUCUAAUGAGACUGCCCGCGCAAGCGGUGAGGAAGGUGGGGACGACGUCAAGUCAUCACGGCCCUUACGUCCAGGGCUACACACGUGCUACAAUGGUAGAUACAGCAGGUUGCCACAUGGUAACAUGGAGCUAAUCCCAAAAGUCUAUCUCAGUUCGGAUUGAGGUCUGCAACUCGACCUCAUGAAGCUGGAUUCGCUAGUAAUCGAAAAUCAGCAAUGUUUCGGUGAAUACGUUCCCGGGCCUU